UGCGGUUCAUGGAGAGUCUCUGGGAGACAGGCACCUGCGGACGCUGCAGAUAAGUUACGACGCAGUAAGUGAGCCUCGCGGCGCCCUCUGGCACAGCGCCUGUCCGAGCGGCUUCUCCCGGGGAGAACCUGGAGCCAUCCUACCUCUUGGGUGGCCUGGUUUGAUUUCCAGGACAAGGCGACUUGCGUGACAGCCUGCUAUCCACUUUCCCUUUGACUUUGCUUCUGGUUACACGUGGGAAUAGAACCGGCUAAAGAGGACUGCUGAAAGAUGAAAAUUCUAAGCUGAGAAGAAAGCUGAAUGAGGUUCAGAGCUUCUCUGAAGCUCAAACAGAAAUGGUGAGGACACUUGAGCGGAAAUUAGAAGCAAAAAUGAUCAAGGAGGAAAGCGACUACCACGACCUGGAGUCGGUGGUUCAGCAGAAACGGGCUGUAAAGGCAGAAAACCACGUUGUGAAACUAAAACAGGAAAUCAGUUUGCUCCAGGCGCAGGUCUCCAACUUCCAGCGAGAGAAUGAAGCCCUGCGGUGCGGCCAGGGCGCCAGCCUGACCGUGGUGAAGCAGAACGCCG
This 570-nucleotide small RNA is filed under the name Pan troglodytes (chimpanzee). RNAcentral's name for it is "processed transcript". Lineage: Eukaryota; Metazoa; Chordata; Mammalia; Primates; Hominidae. The record is from RNAcentral.